AAUAGAUACCCUGGUAGUCCACGCCGUAAACGAUGAGUGCUAAGUGUUAGAGGGUUUCCGCCCUUUAGUGCUGAAGUUAACGCAUUAAGCACUCCGCCUGGGGGAGUACGGUCGCAAGACUGAAACUCAAAGGAAUUGACGGGGGCCCGCACAAGCGGUGGAGCAUGUGGUUUAAUUCGAAGCAACGCGAAGAACCUUACCAGGUCUUGACAUCCUCUGACAACCCUAGAGAUAGGGCUCUCCCUUCGGGGACAGAGUGACAGGUGGUGCAUGGUUGUCGUCAGCUCGUGUCGUGAGAUGUUGGGUUAAGUCCCGCAACGAGCGCAACCCUUGAUCUUAGUUGCCAGCAUUUAGUUGGGCACUCUAAGGUGACUGCCGGUGACAAACCGGAGGAAGGUGGGGAUGACGUCAAAUCAUCAUGCCCCUUAUGACCUGGGCUACACACGUGCUACAAUGGACGGUACAAAGAGUCGCGAGACCGCGAGGUGGAGCUAAUCUCAUAAAACCGUUCUCAGUUCGGAUUGUAGGCUGCAACUCG
RNAcentral lists this ribosomal RNA (538 nucleotides) under uncultured bacterium. RNAcentral describes it as "bacterial SSU rRNA". It matches the Rfam family "Bacterial small subunit ribosomal RNA", at positions 777 to 1314 of the family's 1533-position model. The record is from RNAcentral.